Thalassophryne amazonica is the source of this 2492-nucleotide long non-coding RNA. RefSeq lists it as uncharacterized. The transcript is spliced from 2 exons. NCBI's taxonomy places the organism in Eukaryota, Metazoa, Chordata, Actinopteri, Batrachoidiformes, Batrachoididae. The record is from RefSeq and is a predicted model, not a curated record.
CAUCAAAAAAACUUGCAUUAAUGUAUGCUGCUUUGUCUAAAGGCAGGAGACACGCUCCCAAUACCGGGCUCCAUUUGACCUUUGACCUGUGGUUACAUGCACAAAAAAAGUUGAUCCUGUGACAUCUGAGGGAACAAACCCCCUCCCAAACCCCACCCCUUUAUUUAGUGAUGGCAAAACAAAGCCUCAUGAAGCAUUUGCUGGGUUUUUUGGAUCCCACCAGAUGGCAGUGUCUAUAAAAAAAUCAACACACAAUGAACGCCAGUUUCCUUAGAACCCUUCUUUGAAUAGACACUGCCAUCCAGUAGGCUUAGAAAAAAACUUCAAAUGCUUCAUGAGGCUUCAUUUUGCCAUCACUACCUUUAUUUAUGACACUGCUUUGAAAUAUAUGAUUUCAUUUCUAUUUUUUUUGGUUGCUUUGGGCAACCGUGAAAUAUCAUUUUAUGUGAGCCAAUAGCACUGCUUCAUACUGAUUGUCAAAACGUUAACAUGGAUUCCUAGAUGAGCAAAAACUGACUAAAGCAGACGAUGGCACUUUAAAAACAUUCAGGCCCAAGAAACAGACGUGAAGGUUCUUAUUGCACAGAAACCCAAUAUUGCAUAUUUCAGUAAAACAAUCCAAGGGUCAGAGGUCAUGCACAAAGAAGAGCAGAACGUCCAAAUAAAUAAACUCCACUGACAGACCAGUGUAAAAGACAGUGCAGAAGGAAAAUACCCUCCUUCGCACAUAAAUGCAGCCCCCCAAAAAACUACAAAUUGUACACAAAUGUCCUUGUCAAGAAAAGUGUUGUUUUGAGGUUAAUUCAAGCAACAACAACAACAAAACAAAAGAACUAAUUAAUAAAAAAAGGGGGUAAAGAAACUUAACUCAGACUAAAGAAAUAAAAACCUGGUCCUUGGUCUGAUAAUUGUGGUAACAAAAUGAACAUUUCUUGGACCAUAAAUUGGAAGUUUCAUCUUUCUUUGGGUUGCGGGUGCAGAAUCUGAUAUGGCAAGUUGAUUGGCUGAAUGUUGACAGGUCAUCUAGCAAGUGACUGACAGAAGACUGAACCGCCCACUCAGCGAAAUACUAUGAACAGAGCGAAAUGUGGAGACUCAGCUGUGCAGAACCAUCAUGUUAUCAAUCAUUUCUGAUCAAUUUAUCGUGAAAUCUGUUCUCAUCAGUGUGUCACCGGCAAAAUUUGACCAAAAAAAAAAAAAAAAGCAAAUAAAAGCAAAAUUUUUUAUGGCAUUGCUGACUGUAUAGUUCCCAAGAAAGCUACUGUAAUGCAGAGUAAGACUGUCAUAUUGUCACGAGUUUUACUUGUGGUUCAAGGGUUAUGUCGGCAUCACUACACAAACAUUUUUUUACCCCACUUUAUAAUUAAAGUCACCGUACAAACUAAACCACAAGGUGUCACCACUGUGCUGCUCUGUACUGAUGGCAAAACGAGGCCUCGUGAAGCAUUUGUCUGUUCAAAAAAAGAAUUCAAAGCACAAUGAACUUCAGUUCCCUUAGAACAAUUUUUUGAAUAAACACUGCCAUCUAGUGGUCUUAGAAAAAUCUUCAAAUGCUUCAUGAGGCCUCGUUUUGUCGUCACUACCACUCUGCAUGCCCAAACCCGUCUGACCUCAGAACGAAGCUCCUGAAGAAUCCGUGGAUGAGUUUGUGGCAUAAAACUUGUGCCAAAUACUGGAUGCAGAUUCAGACAGGGUGCACUGUGGUGAGUGAGCGGGGUCGGCCAAAAGCAAAAAUUGAAGUGUAAAUGUGUAACACUGCCUCAGUAAGACGCCACAGAACCUUUUGAUUUCUGUGGCUACGAUACAGUUUUCUACUUUUAAACAUCUAUUAGAGUGAAACAAACCAAACUGUCCCAGCUGUCAGCUUUAUAUCAGUAGUUGGUCAUUAAAUAUAUGCAGGAUCAAAGUAAAACAUGUCUACAGCACUAAGAGAGAUUAUGGCUUUGUUUCCACAUGCAGCUAUUCUAUUUGAGAUAUGAACCGGGCUCAUCUCACCAGCACCGAAGGUUAAGCACUCUGAAUUUCUGGCUUUUCUGAAGCCUGUCCUCCUGACCCUCACUGGAGCUUCAUUUCUAAUUCCUGCUAAAAUUUGAAGUCAGAAUCAGAAUUUCAGCUCCUAACUCAUAGACACUGUUUUGUUUUGUUUUGUUUAGUUAUUAGAAGACCAGAUGUAGAAUCCACUUCUACAUCUGCUGAAAGUUUCUAAAUAUUUGCAAUUACAGCCAACCACCACCAGAUGGAAACAUCAGUAUGAGAAAUGGUCCCGUGUCACAGAUCAGUUCACUGUGUGGCACCAUGUUCCACCAGAACUUCAGAACCAAAAAAGAAAAGUUACCAUGUGCUUACUUUUGUCAAGAUGCUGCUGUUAAUGUGCACGUGACCGCUCAGUGGCACGACCGCCAGCACGCUGGAGACAUUAAACUGUGAACCUCAACUUUUCUUAAAAGGCAGAAGGUUUGGGUUUUGAGGUGUGAUAUUAAAACAGUGAAGAA